This 587-nucleotide ribosomal RNA is filed under the name uncultured bacterium. Its description in RNAcentral is "partial 16S ribosomal RNA". It matches the Rfam family "Bacterial small subunit ribosomal RNA", at positions 355 to 1375 of the family's 1533-position model. The record is from RNAcentral.
UGGGGAAUUUUGGACAAUGGGCGAAAGCCUGAUCCAGCAAUGCCGCGUGUGUGAAGAAGGCCUUCGGGUUGUAAAGCACUUUUGUCCGGAAAGAAAUCCUUGGCUCUAAUACAGUCGGGGGGAUGACGGUACCGGAAGAAUAAGCACCGGCUAACUACGUGCCAGCAGCCGCGGUAAUACGUAGGGUGCAAGCGUUAAUCGGAAUUACUGGGCGUAAAGCGUGCGCAGGCGGUUUGCUAAGACCGAUGUGAAAUCCCCGGGCUCAACCUGGGAACUGCAUUGGUGACUGGCAGGCUAGAGUAUGGCAGAGGGGGGUAGAAUUCCACGUGUAGCAGUGAAAUGCGUAGAGAUGUGGAGGAAUACCGAUGGCGAAGGCAGCCCCCUGGGCCAAUACUGACGCUCAUGCACGAAAGCGUGGGGAGCAAACAGGAUUAGAUACCCUGGUAGUCCACGCCCUAAACGAUGUCAACUAGUUGUUGGGGAUUCAUUUCCUUAGUAACGUAGCUAACGCGUGAAGUUGACCGCCUGGGGAAGUACGGUCGCAAGAUUAAAACUCAAAGGAAUUGACGGGGUCAUAGCUGUUUCCU